This 107-nucleotide small nuclear RNA is filed under the name Marmota marmota marmota (Alpine marmot). Lineage: Eukaryota; Metazoa; Chordata; Mammalia; Rodentia; Sciuridae. The record is from RNAcentral. RNAcentral also lists the same sequence under 1 other name.
GUGCUCGCUUCAGCAGCACAGAUACUAAAAUUGGAAUGAUACAGAGAAGAUUAGCAUGGCCCCUGCGCAAGAAUGACACGCAAAUUCGUGAAGCGUUCUAUAUUAAA